CCGCGCCUAGGGAGGCAGCAGUGAGGAAUAUUGGUCAAUGGUCGGGAGACUGAACCAGCCAAGCCGCGUGAGGGAUGAAGGUACAGAGUAUCGUAAACCUCUUUUGUCAGGGAACAAAGGCGGGGACGUGUCCCCGGAUGAGUGUACCUGAAGAAAAAGCAUCGGCUAACUCCGUGCCAGCAGCCGCGGUAAUACGGAGGAUGCGAGCGUUAUCCGGAUUUAUUUGGUUUAAAGGGUGCGCAAGCGGUCUGUUAAGUCAGCGGUCAAAGCCCGGGGCUCAACCACUGCCCGCCGUUGAAACUGGC
RNAcentral lists this ribosomal RNA (305 nucleotides) under uncultured bacterium. Its description in RNAcentral is "bacterial SSU rRNA". It matches the Rfam family "Bacterial small subunit ribosomal RNA", at positions 333 to 637 of the family's 1533-position model. The record is from RNAcentral.